AGUGAACGCUGGCGGUAGGCCUAACACAUGCAAGUCGAACGGCAGCACAGUAAGAGCUUGCUCUUACGGGUGGCGAGUGGCGGACGGGUGAGGAAUACAUCGGAAUCUACUUUUUCGUGGGGGAUAACGUAGGGAAACUUACGCUAAUACCGCAUACGACCUACGGGUGAAAGCAGGGGAUCUUCGGACCUUGCGCGAUUGAAUGAGCCGAUGUCGGAUUAGCUAGUUGGCGGGGUAAAGGCCCACCAAGGCGACGAUCCGUAGCUGGUCUGAGAGGAUGAUCAGCCACACUGGAACUGAGACACGGUCCAGACUCCUACGGGAGGCAGCAGUGGGGAAUAUUGGACAAUGGGCGCAAGCCUGAUCCAGCCAUACCGCGUGGGUGAAGAAGGCCUUCGGGUUGUAAAGCCCUUUUGUUGGGAAAGAAAAGCAGCAGGUUAAUACCCCGCUGUUCCGACGGUACCCAAAGAAUAAGCACCGACUAACUUCGUG
This 492-nucleotide ribosomal RNA is filed under the name uncultured bacterium. RNAcentral's name for it is "partial 16S ribosomal RNA". It matches the Rfam family "Bacterial small subunit ribosomal RNA", at positions 29 to 507 of the family's 1533-position model. The record is from RNAcentral.